Pelobates cultripes (western spadefoot toad) is the source of this 206-nucleotide non-coding RNA. The record is from the annotation of a GenBank genome assembly. Lineage: Eukaryota; Metazoa; Chordata; Amphibia; Anura; Pelobatidae.
CUGCCUCAGUGCUUUCUUAUGAGGAAAUUUGUACUCAUGUGCAAUACUCACCGCGCAUGUGCAUCAGGUCCUGAAUGAUUCUCAAUGAGGAGGAUUGGACCAACUCUAGCGGAGGCCCAGGAAUAGGAAUAGGUGAGCAGUGCAGUGGGAGCCUCGGCGCUGGAAAAAGGUAAGUAAAAAAAUAUUUGUUAUAAUGUUUUCUGCCG